This 782-nucleotide non-coding RNA is filed under the name Apatidelia acuminata. The record is from RNAcentral. Lineage: Eukaryota; Metazoa; Arthropoda; Insecta; Trichoptera; Apataniidae.
UUAAAGUUAAUUCUAGCUUUAUUAUUUAUAAUUUAUUUGUUUAUAUAUAUUAAUUUUUGUGAGUUUUAAAAAAAAUUUUAAAAAUUUAUGAAUUAAAAUGUAUUAUUUAAUAUUAAAAAAUAAAGAAAUUUAGAUUUAGCACUAUAAAAAUUAUUAACAAAUUUUGUGCCAGCAGUUGCGGUUAUACUAAAAAUAAUUUAAAUAUUCAUUUGUAAUUAAUUAAUAUGAUUAUAUAAUUAAAUAAUAAAAAAUUAAUUUAUUAGGUAAAAUUUUAAAUUAAUAAAAAAUUAAAAAUUUAACAAUUUAUGAAGUUAAGGAAAUAAUUUGAUUAAACUAGGAUUAGAUACCCUAUUAUAAAAAUUAAUAAGUUAAAAAUAAAGUAGUAAAAGUUAUAUUCUUAAAACUUAAAGAAUUUGGCAGUAUUUUAACCUAAUUAGAGGAACCUAUUUAUUAAUUGAUAUUCCACGAUUAAUUUUACUUAAUUUAAUUAAAUUUGUAUAUCGUUGUUAUAAAAAUUUUUUUCUGAAAAAAAUUUUAAAAUUUUAAUAAAAAUUUAUAUCAAAUCAAGAUGCAGUAUAUAAUUAAGAAUUUAAUGGGUUAUCAUAAUUAAAUUUAUGGAAAAAUUUAUGAAAAAUAAUUUAAAAAUUAGAUUUAAAAGUAAUUUAAAUAAAUUUAUUUAAAUGAUUUAGUUCUAAAAUAUGCACAUAUUGCCCGUCAUUUUCAUUUUAAAUUGAAACAAGUCGUAACAUAGUAGAAUUACUGGAAAGUGUUUCUAGAAAGAA